This 465-nucleotide ribosomal RNA is filed under the name uncultured Klebsiella sp. RNAcentral describes it as "bacterial SSU rRNA". It matches the Rfam family "Bacterial small subunit ribosomal RNA", at positions 338 to 795 of the family's 1533-position model. Lineage: Bacteria; Pseudomonadati; Pseudomonadota; Gammaproteobacteria; Enterobacterales; Enterobacteriaceae. The record is from RNAcentral.
CCUACGGGGGGCUGCAGUGGGGAAUAUUGCACAAUGGGCGCAAGCCUGAUGCAGCCAUGCCGCGUGUGUGAAGAAGGCCUUCGGGUUGUAAAGCACUUUCAGCGGGGAGGAAGGCGUUAAGGUUAAUAACCUUGGCGAUUGACGUUACCCGCAGAAGAAGCACCGGCUAACUCCGUGCCAGCAGCCGCGGUAAUACGGAGGGUGCGAGCGUUAAUCGGAAUUACUGGGCGUAAAGCGCACGCAGGCGGUCUGUCAAGUCGGAUGUGAAAUCCCCGGGCUCAACCUGGGAACUGCAUUCGAAACUGGCAGGCUAGAGUCUUGUAGAGGGGGGUAGAAUUCCAGGUGUAGCGGUGAAAUGCGUAGAGAUCUGGAGGAAUACCGGUGGCGAAGGCGGCCCCCUGGACAAAGACUGACGCUCAGGUGCGAAAGCGUGGGGAGCAAACAGGAUUAGAUACCCUAGUAGUC